UAGAAAUGACUAUAAUGUGACUAUUGCAUUGGAUAGAGUUUUCCAAUGGCAUUGUUUUCUACCUAUCUGACCUAUGUUGAGUUUCGCCAAGACUUGACGGGACCAUCACAUCUUUUGACCACCCUAAAGUCUCACUCGUUGCGCCAACACAGCAGAGAGUUCGUGAGGAGGGGCCUAUAUCCCUGAUCAGCGGCUUAUCCUUUCGUCCACCACAACACUAACUCACACAGUAACUGAUGACAAUCCUUUCCAACUAAUGCUCACUGAAUUUAUCCUCAGCGCUUCUGUUGACACAGCAUGGCACCAGGGACGGAUCCAGUGAUCCACUAACUUUUCCUAUCAGAGAUCUAGACGGACCUGAAAAUAGCACCUCCUAUACUCUGGUAGGUGAUAAGGUGACGUUUGCAAAGCGGCGUCUAUUAAAUAUCAUACCUUUAUGUUUGAAGCUGAGACCGGCGAUAUUCCCAAGUAAUACGGCAGAUGAAGACACAAGUUUUAGUAAGGGAGGGCUCCUGCAGAGAUCAAUUCACGGACGCUAAUGUUGCCUUGAAUUAGAGUAUGAUAACCGACAGAGUGACGUUUGCAGAGCGGCGUCUAUUGAAUAUCAUACCUUUAUGUUUGAAGCUGAGACCGGCGAUAUUCCCAAGUAAUACGGCAGAUGAAGACACAAGUUUUAGUAAGGGAGGGCUCCUGCAGAGAUCAAUUCACGGACGCUAAUGUUGCCUUGAAUUAGAGUAUGAUAACCGACAGAGAGCAAGUCAAAGUCAGGCCUGCAGCGACGAGCCCCUUUCUUUCGGAUUGUGAAGUGUAAUGUUAAUGUUUAAUGUAGCUGUUUAACGUCGAAAAUUGUUAGUUUGUAAUUGUUUUUGAGAAGCAAAAUAAUUAAUCUGAGAAGUGAUUCCAGUUUUAUAAAGCUCAGGCAUGGGCACCGUAUUGUUUAUUUAGUUAUAUUUUAUACAAUAUCUUUGACCUUUGUCGCAUUAAGUUGUAGUACUACUACUAGUAGCGGGGUAGUACUAGUAAAUACUGAAUACUGUGUUUCGUUUAUUCUAUAAGUAUAUAAAUAUUGCAUUGUGUAUCUUUGUCGCAUAGUACAUAGUAUAAGUUGAUAAGUAGCGAGGUAGUUAAUACUGUUUCGUGAUGUAUUUUGAUCUUACAAUCUUAAUUAUU
Long non-coding RNA from Bolinopsis microptera, 1170 nucleotides. RefSeq lists it as uncharacterized. Lineage: Eukaryota; Metazoa; Ctenophora; Tentaculata; Lobata; Bolinopsidae. The transcript is spliced from 5 exons. The record is from RefSeq and is a predicted model, not a curated record.